AUUGAACGCUGGCGGCAUGCUUAACAUAUGCAAGUCGAACGCGAGAGGGCUUCGGCCCGAGUAGAGUGGCGGACGGGUGAGUAAUGCGUGGGAAUCUACCCUGGAGCGGGGGACAACCCGGGGAAACUCGGGCUAAUACCGCAUACGUCCUACGGGAGAAAGGGGGCCUCUGAAUGUAAGCUCCCACUCCAGGAUGAGCCCACGUCCGAUUAGCUAGUUGGUAGGGUAAAGGCCUACCAAGGCCACGAUCGGUAGCUGGUCUGAGAGGACGAUCAGCCACACUGGGACUGAGACACGGCCCAGACUCCUACGGGAGGCAGCAGUGGGGAAUAUUGGACAAUGGGCGCAAGCCUGAUCCAGCAAUGCCGCGUGUGUGAAGAAGGCCUGCGGGUUGUAAAGCACUUUCAGUGGGGAAGAACAGGCCUGGGCUAAUACCCCAAGCGUCUGACGUUACCCACAGAAGAAGCACCGGCUAACUCCGUGCCAGCAGCCGCGGUAA
Molecule: ribosomal RNA, 499 nt
Filed under: uncultured bacterium
Lineage: Bacteria
Description: bacterial SSU rRNA
Rfam family: Bacterial small subunit ribosomal RNA
Source: RNAcentral